CAAUCAAAAGAUUGAUUUGAAAAAAAAUUAAGCAAAAAAAAAUUUAAACUUAAAAACUUUAUAAAAAGCAGUGUAAAGAAAGAUAUUAGAUGAAGAUCUCCAAGCUAAUUAAAAUCAUUAGAAUUAAUUAAACUUAAGAAAAUCACUCUACGAACCAUUGAUACAUAAUCGCGUCGCUCUACGAAACCAUGAUAUAUAAUCGCGUCGUCAUUGCAAAUAUUACUACUUGCUGCAUAGGAUUUGUUCUAAAUGGUUUUGGAUUGUUCGUUUUACUAAAGUUUAAAAAGGGUCAUAGCUUAACACAGCGGUACAUACUAAUCCAACUUUGUUUCUUCGAUUUAUGCUUAAGCCUAGUAAAUGGAUUUUAUAGUUUAAACGUAGAACACACUAUUUUAAGUUUGCUUGAAAUAACUUUUAAUACAGGAUUUUAUUUUGCAACAUUUUGGUUGGUAUGUGAUAGAUAUUUACAUUUAAAAUUGAAUAUGAAAUACGUCAUCUUCUGGUCCAAGAAAAAAACAAUAAUUUCAACUAUGGUUGUAUGGGUUAUAUCUAUAUUGUGUUCAGUUUUGUCUUUUUAUAAAAUUUUGCGAAACAUAA
Non-coding RNA from Hydra vulgaris (swiftwater hydra), 597 nucleotides. Lineage: Eukaryota; Metazoa; Cnidaria; Hydrozoa; Anthoathecata; Hydridae. The record is from RefSeq and is a predicted model, not a curated record.